UACGUGGGGGGCAAGCGUUGUUCGGAAUUACUGGGCGUAAAGGGCUCGUAGGCGGCCAACUAAGUCAUACGUGAAAUCCCUCGGCUUAACCGGGGAACUGCGUCUGAUACUGGAUGGCUUGAGUUCGGGAGAGGGAUGCGGAAUUCCAGGUGUAGCGGUGAAAUGCGUAGAUAUCUGGAGGAACACCGGUGGCGAAGGCGGUUCUCUGGGCAUGACCUGACGCUGAGGAGCGAAAGUGUGGGGAGCGAACAGG
Molecule: ribosomal RNA, 253 nt
Filed under: uncultured bacterium
Lineage: Bacteria
Description: partial 16S ribosomal RNA
Rfam family: Bacterial small subunit ribosomal RNA
Source: RNAcentral